This 289-nucleotide ribosomal RNA is filed under the name uncultured beta proteobacterium. Its description in RNAcentral is "partial 16S ribosomal RNA". It matches the Rfam family "Bacterial small subunit ribosomal RNA", at positions 1 to 292 of the family's 1533-position model. The record is from RNAcentral. Lineage: Bacteria; Pseudomonadati; Pseudomonadota; Betaproteobacteria.
CAUGGAGUUUGAUCCUGGCUCAGAUUGAACGCUGGCGGCAUGCCUUACACAUGCAAGUCGAACGGCAGCGGGGACUUCGGUCCGCCGGCGAGUGGCGAACGGGUGAGUAAAGCAUCGGAACGUACCCUUCAGUGGGGGAUAACUAUCCGAAAGGAUAGCUAAUACCGCAUAUUCUCUGAGGAGGAAAGCGGGGGACCUUAGGGCCUCGCGCUGAUGGAGCGGCCGGAGUAGUCAGGAUUAGGUUGUUGGUGAGGUAAAAGCUCACCAAGCCGACGAUCUGUAGCUGGUU